RNAcentral lists this ribosomal RNA (385 nucleotides) under Amblyomma maculatum (Gulf Coast tick). RNAcentral describes it as "partial large subunit ribosomal RNA". The record is from RNAcentral. Lineage: Eukaryota; Metazoa; Arthropoda; Arachnida; Ixodida; Ixodidae.
GUAUUUUGACUAUACAAAGGUAUUGAAAUAAGACUUUAAUUGAGUGCUAAGAGAAUGGAAUUUCAUAAAAUUUCUUUUUUAAUUUUAAAAAUUGAAAUUAAUUUUAUAUGUGAAGAAACAAUAAUAAAAAUUAAGGACAAGAAGACCCUAAGAAUUUUAAAAAUUUUAAUAAAAUACAGUAUUUUAUUAAAAUUUUUUAAUUGGGGCGAUUAUUAAAUAUUAAAAACUUUAAUUUUUUUAAAAAAGAACCAAUAAUAUUGGUUAUUUGAAAAAAUACUCUAGGGAUAACAGCGUAAUAAUUUUUGAUAGUUCUUAUAGACAAAAUAGUUUGCGACCUCGAUGUUGGAUUAGGAUUCUUUUUUAAUGAAGAAGUAAAAAAAGAAGU